UUCGGGCUAUCCCCUCUGGGUACCAAAACAGUUGAUUAAUGUCAUCGUAACCUAUUAUUUGAGCGUGGUCCCUUUCUCUACGAACUAAUUUUCCAUCAAGAAGCUCAAAUUGCUGAUCGCGAAUGAAUUCGUACAAUGGUGUAAUUACAUUGUCUAGAUAAAAGCAAUCGUCUUCAAUGGGUUCACUUUUCGCAUAAUCCUCCGAUUGCAUAAAGUCAUUUGCAAGCUUGAAUAUGAAACAAAGGCAUUCGGGACAAAAUCUAAUGUUGUUGGCUUCACCCCAGCACAAAAGGUAAAGUGCAAGCUGACGAACCUGAGUUUCGCAAUCCAGAUUUUUCAUUUCGUUUUCCCAAUUCUCCAUUGAAACAUUCAAUGGAUCGAUUUGCACGGAAGUUUCCGGUUCAUUUGUUCCUUCUGUCUCGGCCUUGUUGGACUUUCGUUUUUGCUUUUUCUUUGCUUGUUUGAUUUUUGGCCCAUUACUUGAAAACUUGCAAUUUUGCAAGCCGACAGAAUCAUCAAUAUCCAUACUUGAUGAGAAAUACCAUUUUCUAUAAUUGGCAUUCCUACCUCCAAUGUAAUCAGCAUGCAGAGAUUUUAAAGCAUUCUCAGCAUCCAUACGUGAAGAUCUCGAGUCCAAUAAAACCAUAAAAAAGUCGUACAUAUUGAGCAUUGAAUCAUACUGGAAACCAAAUUUUGCCUGAAGCUCUUGAAAAAUCUCAAGUAUAUUUUCGGCGGUAAUGGGGAUCGAGUUUUCAGCAAUCCAUGCAGGGUACGGAUUUUUUGCAUUCAGAUACGAAAACUUUGAAGAGCCUAUAUCUAAAUUAAAUUCCCCGGUUUCGUUGAAAUUUGAAUACAUCUGAUCGUCUUCUGUCAUUCCUCCAGCAUAUGCACCCAAGUCUUCCUCGCUGUAAGGAACACCUUCUGAAUAAUAUUCGUUACUCCUUUCCAAGUUCCCUUGAAGUAUAUUCAUAGCAUUAAUUGCUUCUUCUUGGCCGGAAUAGUCGUAAUCAUAUGCCUCACUUGGAUACGUUUCUCCGUUCAUUGAGAAAUUUUGUUCAUCAGGAUAUCGGGGCUGUACGGGUACUGGUUGGGGAAUCUGUUGAUUGGCUUCUCUUUGUCCUGACCAGCUGUAAUCAUAAUAUUCUGCAAUGUCCUUGGUUUUAUUUGAGUCGUUCCAUGAAUUGGCUUGUGGAUAUGUACUCUCUUCUCCUGGAUUAUUGAAUUCCGUGACAUCCAUUGAGUCCUCAAAUUCAUCCGAAUUUAUUUUAGAGUUUUCAGAUGAAGUACCAAAGCCGUAAUCUUGUUCAUGCCAUGACAUUGUUCAGGUGUUUGUUUUCUAUCUUCCUCUGUUAGCUUCUUAUUUUUGCAUUAAAUAAUCAAAUUUAUCUUCUUUUGAUUCAAAGUUAAAUGUUUUGACUAUGAAGCGCAUACCUUGAUGUUUAAGAAAAAAUAAAUAGCCUAUCAAUAUAUAUGGCAAAGUCCGCAGGACUAGCCUAGUCAAAAUCAAGA
This is a non-coding RNA of Schizosaccharomyces pombe (fission yeast), 1509 nucleotides long. Lineage: Eukaryota; Fungi; Ascomycota; Schizosaccharomycetes; Schizosaccharomycetales; Schizosaccharomycetaceae. The record is from the annotation of a GenBank genome assembly.